UACGUAGGGAGCGAGCGUUGUCCGGAUUCAUUGGGCGUAAAGAGCUCGUAGGCGGCUUGGUAAGUCGGAUGUGAAACCUCCAGGCUCAACCUGGAGUCGCCAUCCGAUACUGCCAUGGCUAGAGUCCGGUAGGGGCCCACGGAAUUCCUGGUGUAGCGGUGGAAUGCGCAGAUAUCAGGAGGAACACCGGUGGCGAAGGCGGGUCUCUGGGCAGUAACUGACGCUGAGGAGCGAAAGCGUGGGGAGCGAACAGG
This 254-nucleotide ribosomal RNA is filed under the name uncultured bacterium. RNAcentral's name for it is "partial 16S ribosomal RNA". It matches the Rfam family "Bacterial small subunit ribosomal RNA", at positions 524 to 776 of the family's 1533-position model. The record is from RNAcentral.